CCUACGGGAGGCAGCAGUGGGGGAUAUUGCACAAUGGGGGAAACCCUGAUGCAGCGACGCCGCGUGGGUGAAGGAGUGUUUCGGUGUGUAAAGCCCUAUCAGCAGGGAAGAAGGAGGACGGUACCUGACUAAGAAGCCCCGGCUAACUACGUGCCAGCAGCCGCGGUAAUACGUAGGGGGCAAGCGUUAUCCGGAUUUACUGGGUGUAAAGGGGGCGCAGACGGCAGCGCAAGCCUGGAGUGAAAGCCCGGGGCUCAACCCCGGGACUGCUUUUGGAACUGUGCGGCUGGAGUGCAGGAGGGGCAGGCGGAAUUCCUGGUGUAGCGGUGAAAUGCGUAGAUAUUAGGAGGAACACCAGUGGCGAAGGCGGCCUACUGGACAGCGACUGACGUUGAGGCCCGAAAGCGUGGGGAGCAAACAGGAUUAGAUACCCCUGUAGUC
This 441-nucleotide ribosomal RNA is filed under the name uncultured bacterium. RNAcentral describes it as "partial 16S ribosomal RNA". It matches the Rfam family "Bacterial small subunit ribosomal RNA", at positions 338 to 795 of the family's 1533-position model. The record is from RNAcentral.